AUGUUGGACAGCUGGCUUAAACCUGGACUCUCUCUUUCUAGAGAAGCAGAGCCUGUUGAGGAUGAGAGUCCACUGAGGGAGGAGAAUGCAGAGGAGGAGGAGGAGGAGGAAGAGGAGGUGGAGGAGGAGGAGGAGGAGGAGGAGGAGGAGGAGAUAGAUGAAGAGGGGUGGGGAGAGAUGGAGGAGGAAGAGGAAGAUGACUGGGAGAAUGAGGAGAAUGAAGAGACACCGAUCACCAGUGAGGAGGGUGACAUCGGUUCUGGGGAGUCAUGGACAGAGGAAGGUAUGGAUGUUGUGGGAGCUACGAGAGGAGCACCUUCUGAGCCCUUAGGCCUACAGUGGCACGCGUGCGCGUUCACACACAUACACGCACACGCACGCACACACACACACACACACACGCACACACACACACACACACACACACACACACACACAAAGCAGCUUUAUUAGUGUACCCUCUAAUUUCAUUCAAUCAUUUCAAACACAUUUCAAGUCUUAUCAAUCUCAUAUUGCCACACUUUCGAUGGGUUUAUGCAAACAUUUAGGUAAACCCUUUAUUGUGGUCUGGUAGAUCCCAACAUCAAAGCCUUUUCAUUUUAACCACUGUGAGCUGGAAUGUAUCCAAUAUAUGAAAUAAAUUUCUGUUUUGGUUUUUGACAUUUCUACUUUGUAUUUGUAAAAAAAAAAAGAAAAACUGUCAAAAAAUGAUAAAUUACAAAAACGAUAAAUGAUAUAUAACAAAAACGUUAUCUCUUUUCUUAAUGUGUCCCCCUCCCAAAAGAGUUUAACAUAUCUCCAGUCAGCCAAUUUGCCAUUUCUGGAUUUGAACGGUAGGAGAAACAUCGAUUUAUUUGAACCGUACUUUAACUGUACUAAUUAUAACUUAAAGCUCAAUGGAACACAGGUGAUUUUAGAAUUCAACUUUUUUAACUAUACUGCUCCCUUUACCCACUAGAGGGCGCUAACGUAUAAUUUAAAACGCUUUAAGCGUGAUUAUAGGCACCUUAAGAUAUCUGAACUCGAUAAACAUUAGAGGCGCAAGGGGGAGGACCAGUUCGGUAGUCUUCGUGCUAUGAUUGGUCGGAAUCUUAACAACAACCCGCCCCCGGAUUUUGUGUACGGAAUAUGAUUGGGUCAUACGAUAAAGAGCUCUAGAGUGCAAAGAUAGGUAACACACCGUCUAAACGAAAGGGGGACAAGAACUCUUAGUUCUAAUACAUUGACAAAAAAGUUUUCCGAAUUAAUUUAGGUCGCCACAGACACUUCUCAAAUAAACAUUUGGACCAGGGCUGCCAAGUUAUUUCUUUUGAAUCCUUGAUCAUUUUGUCCCUCUGGCCCCGCCCCUCUCACAGUUCCCGUACACAUGACCCACGUCACAUGACGUAGGGUCAUGAUACUUCCUGGUUCAGACAAACGGGCUGGCUUCACGGAACGGGGCUAUCU
This 1446-nucleotide long non-coding RNA is filed under the name Takifugu rubripes (torafugu). RNAcentral's name for it is "lncRNA (ENSTRUG00000028428.1)". Lineage: Eukaryota; Metazoa; Chordata; Actinopteri; Tetraodontiformes; Tetraodontidae. The record is from RNAcentral.